RNAcentral lists this ribosomal RNA (293 nucleotides) under uncultured bacterium. RNAcentral describes it as "partial 16S ribosomal RNA". It matches the Rfam family "Bacterial small subunit ribosomal RNA", at positions 505 to 796 of the family's 1533-position model. The record is from RNAcentral.
GUGUCAGCCGCCGCGGUAAUACGGGGGGGGCAAGCGUUGUUCGGAAUUACUGGGCGUAAAGGGCUCGUAGGCGGCCAACUAAGUCAGACGUGAAAUCCCCCGGCUUAACCAGGGAACUGCGUCUGAUACUGGAUGGCUUGAGUUUGGGAGAGGGAUGCGGAAUUCCAGGUGUAGCGGUGAAAUGCGUAGAUAUCUGGAGGAACACCGGUGGCGAAGGCGACAUCCUGGACCAACACUGACGCUGAGUGAGCGAAAGCCAGGGGAGCAAACGGGAUUAGAUACCCCAGUAGUCC